This 498-nucleotide ribosomal RNA is filed under the name uncultured bacterium. RNAcentral describes it as "partial 16S ribosomal RNA". It matches the Rfam family "Bacterial small subunit ribosomal RNA", at positions 28 to 507 of the family's 1533-position model. The record is from RNAcentral.
GACGAACGCUGGCGGCGUGCCUAAUACAUGCAAGUCGAACGAGAGCGACCGGUGCUUGCACUGGUCAAUCUAGUGGCGAACGGGUGAGUAACACGUGGGUAACCUGCUCAUCAGAGGGGGAUAACAUCCGGAAACGGAUGCUAAAACCGCAUAGGUCUUCGAGCCGCAUGGCUUGAAGAGGAAAAGAGGCGCAAGCUUCUGCUGAUGGAUGGACCCGCGGUGCAUUAGCUAGUUGGUGAGGUAACGGCUCACCAAGGCCGUGAUGCAUAGCCGACCUGAGGGGGUGAUCGGCCACAUUGGGACUGAGACACGGCCCAAACUCCUACGGGAGGCAGCAGUAGGGAAUCUUCCGCAAUGGACGCAAGUCUGACGGAGCAACGCCGCGUGAGUGAAGAAGGUUUUCGGAUCGUAAAACUCUGUUGUUAGAGAAGAACAAGUGCUAGAGUAACUGUUAGCGCCUUGACGGUAUCUAACCAGAAAGCCACGGCUAACUACGUG